Molecule: ribosomal RNA, 253 nt
Filed under: uncultured bacterium
Lineage: Bacteria
Description: partial 16S ribosomal RNA
Rfam family: Bacterial small subunit ribosomal RNA
Source: RNAcentral
UACGGAAGGUGCGAGCGUUAAUCGGAAUUACUGGGCGUAAAGCGCACGUAGGUGGUUUGCUAAGUCGAAUGUGAAAGCCCCGGGCUCAACCUGGGAAUUGCAUCCGAUACUGGCAGGCUAGAGUACAGUAGAGGGAGGUGGAAUUUCCGGUGUAGCGGUGAAAUGCGUAGAGAUCGGAAGGAACACCAGUGGCGAAGGCGGCCUCCUGGACUGAUACUGACACUGAGGUGCGAAAGCGUGGGGAGCAAACAGG